CCAGACUCCUACGGGAGGCAGCAGUGGGGAAUCUUCCGCAAUGGACGAAAGUCUGACGGAGCAACGCCGCGUGAGUGAUGACGGCCUUCGGGUUGUAAAGCUCUGUUAAUCGGGACGAAAGGCCUUCUUGCGAAUAGUGAGAAGGAUUGACGGUACCGGAAUAGAAAGCCACGGCUAACUACGUGCCAGCAGCCGCGGUAAUACGUAGGUGGCAAGCGUUGUCCGGAAUUAUUGGGCGUAAAGCGCGCGCAGGCGGAUAGGUCAGUCUGUCUUAAAAGUUCGGGGCUUAACCCCGUGAUGGGAUGGAAACUGCCAAUCUAGAGUAUCGGAGAGGAAAGUGGAAUUCCUAGUGUAGCGGUGAAAUGCGUAGAUAUUAGGAAGAACACCAGUGGCGAAGGCGACUUUCUGGACGAAAACUGACGCUGAGGCGCGAAAGCCAGGGGAGCGAACGGGAUUAGAUACCCCGGUAGUCCUGGUCGUAAACGAUGGGUACUAGGUGUAGGAGGUAUCGACCCCUUCUGUGCCGGAGUUAACGCAAUAAGUACCCCGCCUGGGGAGUACGACCGCAAGGUUGAAACUCAUAGGAAUUGACGGGGGCCCGCACAAGAAGGGCGAAUUCC
RNAcentral lists this ribosomal RNA (620 nucleotides) under uncultured bacterium. RNAcentral describes it as "bacterial SSU rRNA". It matches the Rfam family "Bacterial small subunit ribosomal RNA", at positions 331 to 942 of the family's 1533-position model. The record is from RNAcentral.